This 330-nucleotide ribosomal RNA is filed under the name uncultured bacterium. Its description in RNAcentral is "bacterial SSU rRNA". It matches the Rfam family "Bacterial small subunit ribosomal RNA", at positions 583 to 911 of the family's 1533-position model. The record is from RNAcentral.
GCAAGUCAGAUGUAAAAUCUCUCGGCUUAACCGGGAGGGAUCAUUUGAUACUGCUAGACUAGAGGGCAGCAGAAGGAAGUAGAAUUCCCGGUGUAGUGGUGAAAUGCGUAGAUAUCGGGAGGAAUACCAGUGGCGAAGGCGGCUUCCUAGGCUGUUUCUGGCGCUGAGGUCCGAAAGCGUGGGUAGCGAACAGGAUUAGAUACCCUGGUAGUCCACGCUGUAAACGUUGGACACUGGGUAUGGGGAGUAUCGACCCUCUCCGUGCCGAAGCUAACGCGUUAAGUGUCCCGCCUGGGGACUACGGCCGCAAGGCUAAAACUCAAAGGAAUU